GAGCUACGCUGGCGGCAUGCCUACACGAUGCAAGUUGAACGGAGCUUCACCCAUUCAAGCUUAAGGUAGCGGACGGGUGAUGACUGCGUAAGAACCUACCUUUAGGACGCAGGAAUAACUAUUGGAAAGCGAUAGACUAAGUACCUCAUAACACUGUGGAGUAAAAGGUGAAAAGCCUGCUAAGAGAUGGGCUUGCGUCAUGAUUAGCUUGAUUGGUAAUUUAAAAGGUUUACCAAGGCAACGAUCAGUAGUUGGUCUAAGAGGAUGAUCAAGCCACACUGGGACUGAGACACGGCCCACACCUCUACGAGAGCGGCAGCAGUGAGGAAUUUUCCGCAAUGGGCGAAAGCCUGACGGAGCAAUGCCGCGUGCGAGCGAUGAAGGCUAUGUAGAGGUCGUAAACUCCUUUUCUUAGCGAAGAAACAAGACAGCGUAACUAAGGAAUAAGCAUCGGACUAACUCCGUGCCCAGCAAGCCGCGGUAACUACGGAGGAUGCAAGCGUUAAUUCCGGAAGUUACUUGGGCGUAAAGCGUCAUGUAGGUUGCUAUAUUAUAAGGUCCUACAUGUUAAAGUGUUAAGAGCCUUAAACUUAAAACAGCGGUAUGACACUUAAAAACGCUUGAGUUUAGAACCAGGUACACGGGAAUUCUCGGGUGUACAUGGUGAAAUGCGUAGAAGAAUCGCAAGAACGA
Molecule: ribosomal RNA, 693 nt
Filed under: uncultured bacterium
Lineage: Bacteria
Description: bacterial SSU rRNA
Rfam family: Bacterial small subunit ribosomal RNA
Source: RNAcentral